RNAcentral lists this ribosomal RNA (682 nucleotides) under uncultured organism. RNAcentral describes it as "bacterial SSU rRNA". It matches the Rfam family "Bacterial small subunit ribosomal RNA", at positions 729 to 1412 of the family's 1533-position model. The record is from RNAcentral.
CUAAGCCAUUACUGACGCUGAUGCACGAAAGCGUGGGUAGCAAACAGGAUUAGAUACCCUGGUAGUCCACGCAGUAAACGUUGAUUACUCGUUGUUGGCAAUACAUCGUCAGCGACUGAGCAAAAGCAUUAAGUAAUCCACCUGGGGAGUACGUCAGCAAUGAUGAAACUCAAAGGAAUUGACGGGGGCCCGCACAAGCGGAGGAACAUGUGGUUUAAUUCGAUGAUACGCGAGGAACCUUACCUGGGCUUAAAUGUUAAGUGCUAUACCGGGAGACCGGUUUUUCCUUCGGGACACUUUACAAGGUGCUGCAUGGUUGUCGUCAGCUCGUGCCGUGAGGUGUCGGGUUAAGUCCCAUAACGAGCGCAACCCACUAUUGCCAGUUGCCAGCACAUCAUGGUGGGAACUCUGGUAAAACUGCCGGUGCACACCGCGAGGAAGGUGGGGAUGACGUCAAAUCAGCACGGCCAUUAUGUCCAGGGCUACACACGUGUUACAAUGGUCGGUACAACAGGAAGCUAUUCCGCGAGGAACCGCUAAUCCCGAAAGCCGAUCUUAGUUCGGAUCGGAGUCUGCAAUUCGACUCCGUGAAGCUGGAUUCGCUAGUAAUCGCAGCUCAGCCAUGCUGCGCUGAAUAUGUUCCCGGGCANUUGUACACACCGCCCGUCAAGCCAUGGAAGCC